RNAcentral lists this ribosomal RNA (253 nucleotides) under uncultured bacterium. Its description in RNAcentral is "partial 16S ribosomal RNA". It matches the Rfam family "Bacterial small subunit ribosomal RNA", at positions 524 to 776 of the family's 1533-position model. The record is from RNAcentral.
UACGUAGGGUGCGAGCGUUGUCCGGAAUUAUUGGGCGUAAAGAGCUUGUAGGCGGUCUGUCGCGUCUGCUGUGAAAAUCCGGGGCUCAACCCCGGACUUGCAGUGGGUACGGGCAGACUAGAGUGUGGUAGGGGAGACUGGAAUUCCUGGUGUAGCGGUGAAAUGCGCAGAUAUCAGGAGGAACACCGAUGGCGAAGGCAGCUCGCUGGGACGUUACUGACGCUGAGACGCGAAAGCGUGGGGAGCAAACAGG